UAAGCAUAUCAAUAAGCGGAGGAAAAGAAACUAACAAGGAUUCCCCUAGUAGCGGCGAGCGAAGCGGGAAGAGCUCAAAUUUAUAAUCUGGCACCUUCGGUGUCCGAGUUGUAAUCUCUAGAAAUGUUUUCCGCGUUGGACCGCACACAAGUCUGUUGGAAUACAGCGGCAUAGUGGUGAGACCCCCGUAUAUGGUGCGGACGCCCAGCGCUUUGUGAUACAUUUUCGAAGAGUCGAGUUGUUUGGGAAUGCAGCUCAAAUUGGGUGGUAAAUUCCAUCUAAAGCUAAAUAUUGGCGAGAGACCGAUAGCGAACAAGUACCGUGAGGGAAAGAUGAAAAGCACUUUGGAAAGAGAGUUAACAGUACGUGAAAUUGUUGGAAGGGAAACGCUUGAAGUCAGACUUGCUUGCCGAGCAAUCGGUUUGCAGGCCAGCAUCAGUUUUCCGGGAUGGAUAAUGGUAGAGAGAAGGUAGCAGUUUCGGCUGUGUUAUAGCUCUCUGCUGGAUACAUCUUGGGGGACUGAGGAACGCAGUGUGCCUUUGGCGGGGGUUUCGACCUCUUCACACUUAGGAUGCUGGUGGAAUGGCUUUAAACGA
Molecule: ribosomal RNA, 596 nt
Filed under: Rhodotorula mucilaginosa
Lineage: Eukaryota; Fungi; Basidiomycota; Microbotryomycetes; Sporidiobolales; Sporidiobolaceae
Description: eukaryotic LSU rRNA
Rfam family: Eukaryotic large subunit ribosomal RNA
Source: RNAcentral